Molecule: ribosomal RNA, 467 nt
Filed under: uncultured bacterium
Lineage: Bacteria
Description: partial 16S ribosomal RNA
Rfam family: Bacterial small subunit ribosomal RNA
Source: RNAcentral
GCGAACGCUGGCGGCGUGCUUCACACAUGCAAGUCGAACGGAAAGGCCCUGCUUUUGUGGGGUGCUCGAGUGGCGAACGGGUGAGUAACACGUGAGUAACCUGCCCUUGACUUUGGGAUAACUUCAGGAAACUGGGGCUAAUACCGGAUAGGAGCUCCUGCUGCAUGGUGGGGGUUGGAAAGUUUCGGCGGUUGGGGAUGGACUCGCGGCUUAUCAGCUUGUUGGUGGGGUAGUGGCUUACCAAGGCUUUGACGGGUAGCCGGCCUGAGAGGGUGACCGGCCACAUUGGGACUGAGAUACGGCCCAGACUCCUACGGGAGGCAGCAGUGGGGAAUAUUGCACAAUGGGCGGAAGCCUGAUGCAGCAACGCCGCGUGCGGGAUGACGGCCUUCGGGUUGUAAACCGCUUUCGCCUGUGACGAAGCGUGAGUGACGGUAAUGGGUAAAGAAGCACCGGCUAACUACGUG